GUAUCUGAAGCCUGACGAGGAUGAGAACCUCCGGGGGCAAGAGGUUCGACCCGAGCGAAGCGAGAGAACGUUGCGUCAGCAACGGCCCGCAGGGCGAGCCACGCAGUGGCGAGUCAUCCUCUAUCACCGACCA
This 133-nucleotide small RNA is filed under the name Salmonella enterica. Its description in RNAcentral is "RtT sRNA". It matches the Rfam family "RtT RNA". From Rfam's summary of the family: This family represents a bacterial cis-regulatory element known as RtT RNA. The exact function of RtT is unknown although it is thought that it may be involved in changing the cellular response in relation to amino acid starvation. Lineage: Bacteria; Pseudomonadati; Pseudomonadota; Gammaproteobacteria; Enterobacterales; Enterobacteriaceae. RNAcentral also lists the same sequence under 1 other name. The record is from RNAcentral.